CGGGGUGUGGCUCAGUUGGUAGAGUGCACGGUUUGGGACCGUGAGGUCGGCGGUUCGAGUCCGCCCACCCCGA
RNAcentral lists this transfer RNA (73 nucleotides) under Candidatus Pacebacteria bacterium RIFOXYB1_FULL_44_10. Its description in RNAcentral is "tRNA-Pro". It matches the Rfam family "tRNA". Rfam says of the family: Transfer RNA (tRNA) molecules are approximately 80 nucleotides in length. Their secondary structure includes four short double-helical elements and three loops (D, anti-codon, and T loops). Further hydrogen bonds mediate the characteristic L-shaped molecular structure. tRNAs have two regions of fundamental functional importance: the anti-codon, which is responsible for specific mRNA codon recognition, and the 3' end, to which the tRNAs corresponding amino acid is attached (by aminoacyl-tRNA synthetases). tRNAs cope with the degeneracy of the genetic code in two manners: having more than one tRNA (with a specific anti-codon) for a particular amino acid; and 'wobble' base-pairing, i.e. permitting non-standard base-pairing at the 3rd anti-codon position. Lineage: Bacteria; Bacillati; Minisyncoccota. The record is from RNAcentral.